AAUGAACGCUGGCGGCAGGCCUAACACAUGCAAGUCGAACGGAUCCUUCGGGAUUAGUGGCGGACGGGUGAGUAACGCGUGGGAACAUACCCAAAGGUACGGAAUAGCCUCGGGAAACUGGGAGUAAUACCGUAUGUGCUCGAAAGAGGAAAGAUUUAUCGCCUUUGGAUUGGCCCGCGUUGGAUUAGGUAGUUGGUGGGUAACGGCCUACCAAGCCGACGAUCCAUAGCUGGUUUGAGAGGAUGAUCAGCCACACUGGGACUGAGACACGGCCCAGACUCCUACGGGAGGCAGCAGUGGGGAAUCUUGGACAAUGGGGGAAACCCUGAUCUAGCCAUGCCGCGUGAUCGAUGAAGGCCUUAGGGUUGUAAAGAUCUUUCAGGUGGGAAGAUAAUGACUGUACCACCAGAAGAAGCCCCGGCUAACUCCGUGCCAGCAGCCGCGGUAA
Molecule: ribosomal RNA, 448 nt
Filed under: uncultured bacterium
Lineage: Bacteria
Description: partial 16S ribosomal RNA
Rfam family: Bacterial small subunit ribosomal RNA
Source: RNAcentral